This 253-nucleotide ribosomal RNA is filed under the name uncultured bacterium. RNAcentral describes it as "partial 16S ribosomal RNA". It matches the Rfam family "Bacterial small subunit ribosomal RNA", at positions 524 to 776 of the family's 1533-position model. The record is from RNAcentral.
UACGGGGGGGGCAAGCGUUGUUCGGAAUUACUGGGCGUAAAGGGCGCGUAGGCGGCGUGUUAAGUCAGCUGUGAAAUCUCCGAGCUUAACUCGGAACGGUCAGCUGAUACUGAUGUGCUAGAGUGCAGAAGGGGCAAUCGGAAUUCUUGGUGUAGCGGUGAAAUGCGUAGAUAUCAAGAGGAACACCUGAGGUGAAGACGGGUUGCUGGGCUGACACUGACGCUGAGGCGCGAAAGCCAGGGGAGCAAACGGG